GUGGCUUCGGCAACACAUAUACUAAAAUUGGAACGAUACAGAGAAGAUUAGCAUGGCCCUUGCUCAAGGGUGACACACAAAUUUGUGAAGCAUUUCAUAUUUUU
Sorex araneus (European shrew) is the source of this 104-nucleotide small nuclear RNA. The record is from Ensembl. NCBI's taxonomy places the organism in Eukaryota, Metazoa, Chordata, Mammalia, Eulipotyphla, Soricidae.